UACAGAGGGCCCGAGCGUUGUUCGGAUUCAUUGGGCGUAAAGGGUGCGUAGGCGGUGGGGUAAGUUGGAUGUGAGAUCUUGGGGCUUAACCUCAAAAUUGCAUUCAAUACUGCUCCGCUCGAGUUCUGUAGAGGAGAUUGGAAUUUACGGUGUAGCAGUGAAAUGCGUAGAUAUCGUAAGGAACGCCAGUGGCGAAAGCGAAUCUCUGGGCAGCAACUGACGCUGAGGCACGAAGGCCAGGGGAGCAAACGGG
This 253-nucleotide ribosomal RNA is filed under the name uncultured bacterium. Its description in RNAcentral is "partial 16S ribosomal RNA". It matches the Rfam family "Bacterial small subunit ribosomal RNA", at positions 524 to 776 of the family's 1533-position model. The record is from RNAcentral.